GAUGAACGCUAGCGGCAGGCCUAACACAUGCAAGUCGAGGGAGAAGCCCUUUCGGGGGCAGAAACCGGCGCACGGGUGCGUAACGCGUAUGCAACCUACCUUUCACAGGGGGAUAGCCCGAAGAAAUUUGGAUUAAUACCCCAUAAUAUUAUUGGAUGGCAUCAUUUGAUAAUUAAAACUGCGGUGGUGAAAGAUGGGCAUGCGUCCUAUUAGCUAGUUGGAGUGGUAACGGCACCCCAAGGCUACGAUAGGUAGGGGUCCUGAGAGGGAGAUCCCCCACACUGGUACUGAGACAGGGACCAGACUCCUACGGGAGGCAGCAGUGAGGAAUAUUGGUCAAUGGUCGGAAGACUGAACCAGCCAUGCCGCGUGCAGGAAGAAUGCCUUAUGGGUUGUAAACUGCUUUUAUAUGGGAAGAAUAAGGCGUACGAGUACGUUGAUGACGGUACCAUAUGAAUAAGCAUCGGCUAACUCCGUG
This 478-nucleotide ribosomal RNA is filed under the name uncultured bacterium. Its description in RNAcentral is "partial 16S ribosomal RNA". It matches the Rfam family "Bacterial small subunit ribosomal RNA", at positions 28 to 507 of the family's 1533-position model. The record is from RNAcentral.